CCUACGGGUGGCAGCAGUGAGGAAUAUUGGUCAAUGGGCGCGAGCCUGAACCAGCCAAGUCGCGUGAGGGAAGACGGUCCUAUGGAUUGUAAACCUCUUUUGUCGGGGAGCAAAAGACGCCACGCGUGGCGUUUCGAGAGUACCCGAAGAAAAAGCAUCGGCUAAGUCCGUGCCAGCAGCCGCGGUAAUACGGAGGAUGCGAGCGUUAUCCGGCUUUAUUGGGUUUAAGGGGUGCGCAGGCGGAAGUUCAAGCCAGCGGGAAAAUUCUGGGGCUCAACCUCUUCGAGCCGGGGGAACUGGUUGUCUUGAGUGAGCGAGAGGUAGGCGGAAUGCGUGGUGUAGCGGUGAAAUGCAUAGAUAUCACGAAGAACCCCGAUUGCGAAGGCAGCAUACCGGCGCGCAACUGACGCUCAUGCACGAAAGUGUGGGUAUCGAACAGGAUUAGAUACCCGAGUAGUC
Molecule: ribosomal RNA, 459 nt
Filed under: uncultured bacterium
Lineage: Bacteria
Description: partial 16S ribosomal RNA
Rfam family: Bacterial small subunit ribosomal RNA
Source: RNAcentral